This 158-nucleotide small RNA is filed under the name Streptomyces mutabilis. RNAcentral describes it as "Streptomyces luteus c-di-AMP sequence". It matches the Rfam family "c-di-AMP riboswitch aptamer (ydaO/yuaA leader)". Rfam says of the family: This family represents a conserved RNA structure found upstream of the ydaO and yuaA genes in Bacillus subtilis and related genes in other bacteria. The ydaO/yuaA element is thought to act as a genetic "off" switch for the ydaO and yuaA genes in its native state. Lineage: Bacteria; Bacillati; Actinomycetota; Actinomycetes; Kitasatosporales; Streptomycetaceae. The record is from RNAcentral.
ACUCACCCACCACCCGUACACGGCAGGAGCGGGGGACCCACAGGUACAACCGCCUGUUCCGGUUCCCGGAACGGCUAGGGGUCAAGCCGCGCCUCGGCGCGGCCGGGCAUCUCCAGUCCGAACCCGACAGCUCACCUCGCAGGCGCCGGAGAGGAAUU